Oreochromis niloticus (Nile tilapia) is the source of this 1219-nucleotide long non-coding RNA. RefSeq lists it as uncharacterized. The record is from RefSeq and is a predicted model, not a curated record. The transcript has 2 exons. NCBI's taxonomy places the organism in Eukaryota, Metazoa, Chordata, Actinopteri, Cichliformes, Cichlidae.
ACGCUAGCUCGAUAGGUGCCAUCUAGCAAAGACACCAUCUGUCACAACUUCCUCCCACGUUCCUCCCACAUUUCCGGUUCACGCGCGUCAAAAUUACAUAUUUUGACACGCGAUAAAUUCGCAUUGGACACGCGUCGAUGUGCGAAUUUGCACGCGUCGAGUUAGGGGCGUCUGGCGCAUUUUGAUCACGUCUAUCGCGUUCAGUGUGAACACACCGUAAAAUACCACAGCUCUAAGGUGGAGGCUGAUUAGAAGCAGAUGGCAGAGCGAUCAAGUGCAGGUGAGGCCACAGCUGUGCGGAGGAGCUUCCGGGUGGAAGGCCAUCCGAGCCACGCCCUCCCCGGAAGCGCGAACUUCCGUAAACAAACCGCGCGGCUGGGAGAGAGGAGAAACAGGGAGAGAAUACACACAAAGGUGAGGUCAUGUACUUUGAUUACCAGUCUGGCAGGGAUUAUGGUGUUAAAAGCUGAGCUAAAAUCAGUAAAGACAAGGCUGAUGUAACUGUCCUGUUGUUCUAAGUGAGCUACGGUUGUAUGGAGGGCUAUGGCAUCCUGACCUGUUCUUCCUGUGAACUGAGGAUCGAAUGUGUGAGUUCUGACCAGUUUCUCGAGACACUUCGAGAUGACUGGAGUAAGACCCACUGGCUCUGCGAGGCGCUAGAAAACUAAAUGAAAUGUUUAUUAAGGGAGAAAUGUUUCAGGAACCUGGGUUGAUAGUUUAUCUGAAGCAACAUCACAUCAGAAACACUCCCACCUCUGACCCAACUACCCAACCACAGCAGAGCGCUACUCUGGCAGGUCCAGCGUCAGCACCUGUAAACCGUCAGUGUUGAUUGGUCCGGGUCCAACAAACUGGUGGUUGGUAACCAGCAACAGCACUUCAAUGACGGGCACAAGAAGCUCUCUUUAAAAAGAAGAGUGAGGAGGUGCAGAAGGAGCUGCCUCCAGUCUGUAAGUGCUUCUGAACGUUAGCACUGCUAACACCUGCCUGCCCCACUGCCCACCCCCGGAUCCUUACAGACUUACUCUCUGGACGCUCCCUGUUGCUCUCCCAGAUCUCUUACCCCUCCAUGCCUCACCUGCUCCCGCAAAGAAUGACUUUGAGAAUUUUCCGCCUCCUAAUUCCUCGCUGGCCACAUCUCUCGGUUCCUGCACUGGUCUAGCUGUCUGGCUGUGACAUGAAGCGCUCAUGAUUCCCAGUAAAAGACUUCUACAAGAAA